CUACGGGUGGCAGCAGUGAGGAAUAUUGCACAAUGGGGGGAACCCUGAUGCAGCAACGCUGCGUGGAGGAUGACGCAUUUCGGUGUGUAAACUCCUUUUAUAUGUCAAGAAAAUGACGGUAGCAUAUGAAUAAGCACCGGCUGAACUCCGUGCCAGCAGCCGCGGUAAUACGGAGGGUGCAAGCGUUACUCGGAAUCACUGGGCGUAAAGGACGCGUAGGCGGGUUGGAAAGUCAGGUGUGAAAUCCUACAGCUUAACUGUAGAACUGCACUUGAAACUUCUAAUCUAGAGUAUGGGAGGGGGAGAUGGAAUUAGUGGUGUAGGGGUAAAAUCCGUAGAUAUCACUAGGAAUACCUAAAGCGAAGGCGAUCUCCUGGAACAUUACUGACGCUAAGGCGUGAAAGCGUGGGGAGCAAACAGGAUUAGAUACCCCAGUAGUC
RNAcentral lists this ribosomal RNA (440 nucleotides) under uncultured bacterium. Its description in RNAcentral is "partial 16S ribosomal RNA". It matches the Rfam family "Bacterial small subunit ribosomal RNA", at positions 339 to 795 of the family's 1533-position model. The record is from RNAcentral.